GUCACUAUGUGGUUUAUAGAGUUACAGGUCACUAUGUGGUUUAUUAUAGUUACAGGUCAAUACGGGGUUUAUAGAGUUACAGGUCAAUAUGGGGUUUAUAGAGUUACAGGUCACUAUGGGGUUUAUAGAGUUACAGGUCAAUAUGGGGUUUAUAGAGUUACAGGUCAAUAUGUGGUUUAUUACAGUUACAGGUCACUAUGUGGUUUAUAGAGUUACAGGUCAAUAUGUGGUUUAUUACAGUUACAGGUCACUAUGUGGUUUAUAGAGUUACAGGUCAAUAUGUGGUUUAUUACAGUUACAGGUCACUAUGUGGUUUAUAGAGUUACAGGUCAAUAUGUGGUUUAUAGAGUUACAGGUCAAUACGGGGUUUAUAGAGUUACAGGUCAAUACGUGGUUUAUAGAGUUACAGGUCAAUACGUGGUUUAUAGAGUUACAGGUCAAUACGGGGUUUAUAGAGUUACAGGUCAAUAUGUGGUUUAUAGAGUUACAGGUCACUAUGUGGUUUAUUACAGUUACAGGUCACUAUGUGGUUUAUAGAGUUACAGGUCACUAUGUGGUUUAUAGAGUUACAGGUCAAUACGGGGUUUAUAGAGUUACAGGUCAAUAC
This 607-nucleotide long non-coding RNA is filed under the name Salmo salar (Atlantic salmon). RNAcentral's name for it is "lncRNA (ENSSSAG00000082059.1)". Lineage: Eukaryota; Metazoa; Chordata; Actinopteri; Salmoniformes; Salmonidae. The record is from RNAcentral.